Molecule: long non-coding RNA, 6985 nt
Organism: Rhincodon typus (whale shark)
Lineage: Eukaryota; Metazoa; Chordata; Chondrichthyes; Orectolobiformes; Rhincodontidae
Exons: 4
Source: RefSeq, a predicted model, not a curated record
AUAAAGCACUGAAUUUAUAUUUUUUGCAUUGCUACAGGCAAUUCGUGACAUGGAUUACAUUGUACAGGAUAAACUAUUAUUGGAACAAUUAAUUGGAAUGGAGUUACAUGAGCCUAUAGACAAAACCAUUUUCUACAAUGAUGAAAAGCUUUCAUUCACUGAAGUUCUGUACUAUGGCAAUGAAAGCACACUUCUUACUUUCGAUACUCUGUUUUUCUGUAUUGUGGACCUUGCUACUCAAAGUUUCAUUUUUGCUGCAUUUCUAACUUAUAUACAACAAAAGGUAUUUUGCAUUGGUCUUCAAUGUAGAGGAUGCAAGUGACAUCUCAGAAACAUCUACAAAUGAGGAAAUGGAAAAGAAGGAAGGUUAUUCAGUUUAUUCGCCUUGCAGUAGGACGCAAGAACUUAGUUGCAAAAACACUAGUUGAUGAAAGAUUUCUUCUCUGAAAUGCAGAGACCAAGGAGUUCAUUAGGAGGACAGACUGUCCAAGUGGAACUCCACUACUACAAGAUUCUAAUAUUCUUGGACUUGUUUUACAUAAUUUUCACUAAACAAAAACAAUCCUGUUACUAUUGUUUUCCUUUGCUGUGGGUACAAAUUGUUCCGACAGUCUUUACAGUAUUGUUGUCUAAUGUUCUGUUCUAAUGUUUUAGGUAAGUUUGUAAUUUGACAAGUAACAUACAUCUGUGUAUUUAGUUUUUUCUCCUUCCUUUACCUUUUCUGUAUUUGCAUUGCCAAGUAACAUGCUUCCACCAAAUGAGUGAUAGGUAACUUUAGCUGAGCAAUGUUAUUCUGUAUCUUUGUUAGAAUUUAUUGGCAUAUGACCCUUAUCAUUCUUUACUAUAUCAAAUUGGAUCAAUUUACUUGAUUGAAUCGAUCUUUAUGAAUGUUGAGUUCUUUGUUAGGAAUCGUCAUAAUCUUUUGUUGAUAUAAAAUGUCAAAUAUAAAUUUAACAACUUUAAAAGAACGUUACAUUUUUAUGUUUAUUACUGAAUGUAAUUGCAUUUAUUAGUAACUGAGAUAACAAAUUAAUAUCACUGCUAAAAUUUGAAGCAGCCUCCCAUUAAAGAAGGAGCCAGCACUUGUACCUCCAUGGAUGGUUCCCAUGAAAUUAGCUAACAUAAUUACAAAGGAAAAGUUGGACUAUUGAAUCCAAAGUCUAACUCCUAAGUAACUAUUAAACUGACUCCAUCAUUAACUCUCACAACCCCUAGAUCCCUUACACCACAGAUCCUGGCCCAGCACCCCUUGGGGUGCUGACAGUCAUCCCCUCUAGGACUCUACACCCCACCAGGACCUGUCAUCCCCACCUGGGGAAACAGCACCCUCUUUGCCCCACUAGAACUGGAUUGAUUCCCGCAGUUGCCAGACCACAUCCUCUGAGAACCUUGACCCAAGACCCCCAACCACCACCACUAAUACUGUACUUAAUCCCCUCCACCACCACACUCAAUCUGACUCCUUGCCCCACCAGAAACAGCACCCACUUAACUACCCCCCUUCUCUACUGCCAGACCUAGUCAUCUAUUCCCCUCUGCCUGCUAGAUUGGACGAACUGUAGGACAAACCCCCAGCCCUGACAAAUCUCCUCUCCAACCUACCCGACAUACCCUAAACACUUACCUUUUCCCUUGCAUCUUACCCGCACUCAGUUGGCACCGUAUCCUGUUGGCACCCUAUCUCUUACAUAUUUGGCAAUUUACCACCUGGCACCCUAUCCCUCCCCAACUGCCACCUUACAGCCCUAGCACCGUAGCCCCUACCCAUCUGGCUCCUAGCCCUCUCAGUACCUUACCUUACGUGCUUGAUCUUUAACAGCAGAUAUCAAAGAGGCCGUCAGGACCUUUAGACUUCAGAACAAAGCAGCUGAAUACUGUGAAAAGGGGGCCUUUUUAAGCAUUCUUCACCCAUUCUGUGGUAUGAGAGAGCAAUCAGAAUUGAAGUACCUCUCAGCAUUUGAAUCUCCACUCAGAAAUGCAGGGCUCCCUUCUUUUGUGUAAAGAAGCAGAGUUGCAAGUUGCAUGAGGUUACCGCUCACCAGAAAAUCUGACCUAAUGUUCUAAAAAAGAAGACCGGAUUGUGUUAAUUUCAAAUUUUGUUUUCAAAGAAUGGAGGGUACACUUGCAUUAUGUUUUUGUCAUUCAUUGAGACCAGAGUUCAGGGGAAAUGGUGAACUUAUUUGGGCUGAGAAUAUUUAUUCAGUGAGAAAUAUAAAUUGUAGCUGCAAGGCCUUAUGAAUGACAAUGGUCCCUGUUGGAUUCUUUGUAUACAGAUAUCCUCACUAUAUGUCAGAUUAGCUGUAAUACUGUUCUCACCUAUGGGUCAUAAUGUUAAAGUUGAAGUCCCACAUGAGUUCACGGCUUUGCUUGUUCCAAAGUACAACCAUGGGAGUACUUCACUGUUGGCAGUGCAGUCUUUUGGAUGAAGUAUUAAACUGAAGCUUCACCUGUCAUAAUGCGAUGAAAAAGAUCUCAUGGCACUGCUACAAGAAGGGCAAUGGAAUUCUCACUAGGGUCUUGGUCAAUAUUUAUUCCUCAACCAACAUCACUAAAAUAGAUGAUCUAAUUGUGAUUAAAGAAUGAUACAUCACGGAAAGAGAACACUGGGCCAUCAUGCCUGUGGCUCUUUGAAAGAAUUGCCCAAUUACUUAUCUGCUCUUUCUACUAAUCCUGAAAAUGUUUCCACUUCCAGCAUUUAACCAGUUCCUUUUUCAAAAAUUGUUAUCCAUUCUACUUCAACUUACAUGCCCCAUGUCAGUUAGUAUGAUCUAAAUUAUAGUAACUUGAUGCAUCUUCUUUUGACCAUGGCACCACUGGUUCUUUUGGCAAGUGUUCUCUAAUAAUCAAUCUUUAUGACAAUGAAAGUUUUUUUCUCCUUAUUUAUACUAUUAAGAACCUUCAUGAUAGCGACCAUUUCUACCAAAUCUCUCCUUACUAUUUUCCACUCUGAAGAGAACAACCCAGUUUCUUUACCAGAAUCAGAAUAUCCUUUAUUGUCACGUGUACUCCAUUGCAGAAGUACAAUGAAAAGCUUUUACAAUGUCUGCCUCUUAUGGCACCAUCUUAGUUAUAAGUACUGAGGUAUAAAUCUUGGAUACAAAAGAGGAAUAAAAAAUAGUUGCAUUACUUUAUAGAGUUUAAAAAUAAGUUAGAGAUAAGACAUCAUUAAAGGAUUGACUUUACAGUCAGGUAAAAAAUUUCAAAUAAACAUUACAUUGGAGCAGCUCAAUGCAGAGCCUCCGCACAUGGUCUGACCGCCCAUUCCAGACCCAGUCCAACAGCCAGCCCCGUUCUGCUCCAAGCCUCCAGGCCACUCCAUUCUUGCACUCAGCUGCUCCAAGGUAAGUUCCAGGACUGCUCCCCCUCACCGGUCUUUGCCUGGGACUUGCUGCCCGUGCUGCUCUGAGACUUGCUGCCCACACACUACUCUAGGACUCACUGCCCACAGUGCUCCAGGACUUGCUAAUCAUUCCGUGUAACCAUUUUGUUUCUCUAAUCAUUCCAUGUAACAGAAGUCUUUCCUUUCUGAUUCCAUCCUUUUCAUUCUCCUCUGCUCUUUGCUUUUCCACUCUAUGGGUGGGAUUUUAAACUGAAAGUCCCUGGCCAAUCAAAAGGACUAUUAGCCACUAGAACUCAUUCGAAUCUCCAGUGGACUUCAACAUAGCUGUAUAACUAAGCCGCAACGUUGGCAAUCAACUUCCAGUCUCCUUGACCAAUUAGAGACAGUGGGUGUGAUGAUGUGCUCGAUCAGUUAAAGGAAGGAGUUCUGAUUAAAGGACCAUAAAAUGGGUUACAAUGUAGUACAUGCAUAUGGACUUUUAAAACUGCAGUAACCACAGAAGUAGAGAAAACACCUGAGAAGGCUGCUCCCCAAGCAUCUUACUCUGACCUGUGGGUCUUGAUGAAGGAUCUGAGGGGCUACAAUGAGGUGAGGUCUUCCAAGGACUGUGAAAGUGGACACUCUGUCCAUCAAAGUCUUCAUGGAUGGAAACAGAAUAGAAAGUCAGGGAGAGUUUUGUUCAUUCCAAUCUGGAGGCAGUGCACCAGGAGCAUACAGAACUUCACAAGUGUGGGAAAGCUGAGUCAUACACUUUCAGAUGCUAUGCCUCACACUUUGGUUUUUGCAGAAUUCUCUGACACAGUACUGUUUCAGACAUGUUACCCUGCAACUCCACUCAUUCUUUACCAGGCAUCAUACAUUGCCAUCUGGGCAGCCAAUAUUCAUACAUAUCUUAUUGCCUCAUAGUCACCUCUCAGAAAUAUUGUCUUUCUCUGCUGUCCACACAAAAAACUACUCACACUCAUGUAUAUCUGCUUCCUGUCCAUGAAGGGAAGAAAAGAACUACACAAUAUCAGAAAGACACAGAGAGUCAGGGAUGGGUGGGUGUUGGGUAAUGCAAUGGAGUAGCCCUCAAGUGAUAGGCAUCGUAUCAGACGUUGGCAUUGUUAGCCCUGCUUUUGUUCCAAGAGGCUGCAGACGUUACAACAACUUGCUGAGCUGCCUGAGAUGCUGAUGAUCAGACUUGUUAAGGGAACUGAUUGCUAUUACAUGCCCAGUUGAGGGUUAGCAGUAGGCAAGUACAGCUGAUAGUGAGUGAAGUGCAAGACAGGAGAGUGAGUUGCAAGUUGGCAAUCAUCUGUUAAACUAUGAAAGCAUUCUCUGAGACAGAGUGUUAUGAAUAGCAGCCUCUCAUUGGUUUGGCUGCAGCUCUUCAGUUUCAUUGAUCAAAAAGCAUCCCAGUUUCACAGCUUCACUGAAGAAGAACUCCUCAUUGUCCACUUGCCUCAAUUAUCCUAACAAGUUGCUGACAGGUCAUUCAGGAGGUCUAUUGGCUGUCAAAACCAAGAUUCAUGAUUAAAACAGAAUAAAUGAAUUCUUUAAAUAUUUAAAUUCCACUUCACACAUUUGCACAGAGGACCUCCACUCACAUUCAAACCCACCCAGGUCAACCCUGGAACAGAACCAGGUGAUGUUGAGAUCCUGACCCAAUGUUACUUUUAGGUGGCUUAACUCUACUUAUACACUGAAUCCUGAUGUCCCUUACCUUAAGAAUUCUACCCUAUGCCUCUAUUUUUAAAGCCAAUGAUAUAUCUUUUUCCCAAAACUAUUAUUUUUUCAUAAAAUCUUUAAAAGUACAUUACAAAUAAUCUUGACUUGAAUAUUGCAUACAAUGCAACAACAUUCAACUUAUUUCUAGAUGCCAUGUUCCACUUUUGGAUGCUCAAUACAAUUGUAGUGGUCUUAAUAUUUACAAUAUACAUGUCAUGUCAUGCAAAUAGCCAGAGGCCAAAUUAUUUCAACUUGAAAAUUGCAUAGUGUGCAGUCAAUUCAACUUUUCUCCAUGCACCUUGUUCCACUCUGAGGUGCUUCAACACAAUUUCAACACUCUUGAUGUUCACAGUGUGAAUUGCUGUCUGGGUGUCUUCCCUUCCCAGCUCCUCUUACUCUGAAGGUUGGCUAUGUGAGGAAACCAUGAUUGCUUUCCUAUUGAGGCUUCAGAUUAAAGUUGCAGUCAAGGUCACUGUCCUCAUCUGCAUACUUCAACAUGCCAUGCUUUGACAUUUAAUACCAUUAUCAGCACCAUCACAAAGUCCCAAUAUUAGCAUCCUGGGAAUUACCAUUGACCAGAAAUUUAGCUGGACAUGCUACAUAAAUAUCAAGGUUAGCAAAGCAGUUGAGAUGGGAGUAUUCUGCAAUGAGUGACUCACCUCCUGACUUUCCAAGGCUUCUCCAUCAUUUAUAUCCACCAGGAGUGUAAGUCAAUGUUUUUGACUUUCCUUGAUGGAUGCAGCUGCAUCGUGAAGCUCAUGAACAUACAGAACAGAACAGUCCAUUUUAUGAGCAUCUACCAGUCUCAAAAUGUACUACAGGCAUUUACUGGCAGCAACAGCAUCUCUUGCAUCAAUUUCCUUUGGCAGAACUUGUUUACUGUAUAAUUCUAUAACCUCCCAAACCCAUGAGACCUUCCAAUAUAGAAGGACAAAGACAGCAAAUGCAUGAAACAGCUUCACUUUCAAGCGGCACUCCAAACAAACAUCCUAAUUUGGAUGAAUAUAUUACAUUCCUUAAUAGUUCAAAUUUCUGAAACUCCCCAUGUAUCAGUUUUGUGCAUGCACCUUCACCAAAUAGACUCAUUGAUUCUAGAAGAAGUGAACCACUACGUCUCCAGAGCAACUAUGGACAGCAGUAAAUGCCAGGCUUGCCACCAAUGUUUACAUCCUAAGAAUGAUUUUUUAAAAAAUCAGACAUUAUCCAAGCUCAUGAAUUUAUAUCCCACUAGCCACAGGUUCAGCAAGAUUACCACAAUUACUUGGCAGUUUGUUAUUUGCAUAGAAAAACAGGCACUUCUAUUUUAAUUAAAAGAACAAUUUAUGGUCAUUUUAGUAUUAGAAAUAAUAAGGGGAGAUUUUCACUGCAUCCGACUAUGCUAUCCCUGACCCCAGAGUGAUUCAUAGUAAUACUGAGACCUAAUAUUCAAAAUUACUCAUUCCCAGCAUUUAAUAGCACAGAAUUUAAUUUUUAUUUUUUGUUUUUAUGGAUUGUCAAAAAUUAUUGGUAGCCUAAUUGUUCCAACAAAGUGUUACCAACUUUCUCCAGUGCACAGAAUAUGUCCUAUGCUCCAGCUAGAAUUGUGUUUUGUUGAAAUAAAUUUUCAGUGUGAUUACAAGAAAAAAAGCUUUAGCGGCUCGUAGCUAUUUAGUAGGCUUCAGUAUAACCCAUCCUGUUAUAUGUAGCACAGUUAUAAGCCCUAUUUUUGACCCUCUCCUAUUUUAUGUUAGGAUUCUAAUUAAUAUCAGGAAUUGCAUGUUUAUUUGGAACAUAAGAGGGCAGGAUCAAAAUGUGGUUUCCUCGGUUAGCUGUCAAGUACUUUGGGUCUACCUGAGGUUGUUAAACACACUAUAUAACUUUGUUCAGUCUUUCAAUUACUGCAACCUGUACGUAUACAUGAAUCCAGGAAAUGACUGUGCAUAACAAGGUGUAGAG